RNAcentral lists this ribosomal RNA (432 nucleotides) under uncultured bacterium. RNAcentral's name for it is "partial 16S ribosomal RNA". It matches the Rfam family "Bacterial small subunit ribosomal RNA", at positions 29 to 507 of the family's 1533-position model. The record is from RNAcentral.
AACGAACGCUGGCGGCAUGCCUAACACAUGCAAGUCGAACGAGACCUUCGGGUCUAGUGGCGCACGGGUGCGUAACGCGUGGGAACCUGCCCUUAGGUUCGGAAUAACUCCCCGAAAGGGGUGCUAAUACCGGAUAAUGUCUUCGGACCAAAGAUUUAUCGCCUUUGGAUGGGCCCGCGUUGGAUUAGCUAGUUGGUAGGGUAAAAGCCUACCAAGGCGACGAUCCAUAGCUGGUCUGAGAGGAUGAUCAGCCACACUGGGACUGAGACACGGCCCAGACUCCUACGGGAGGAGGCAGUGGGAAUAUUGGACAAUGGGCGAAAGCCUGAUCCAGCAAUGCCGCGUGAGUGAUGAAGGCCUUAGGGUUGUAAAGCUCUUUUACCCGGGAUGAUAAUGACAGUACCGGGAGAAUAAGCUCCGGCUAACUCCGUG